CGGGUACACAGAGAAGCGGCUCCCGUCGGAGGCCGAGUCGUCGCCACGAUCGCCCCCUUGGUGGACUCGCAGGCCAAGCCUCUUCCCCGCAGAGCUCGAGGAGGGCAGACGGCGGCGGGGGCGCCAUGAGUCAGAGGCAGGUGCUGCAAGUGUUCGAGCAAUACCAGAAGGCCAGGACCCAGUUCGUGCAGAUGGUGGCGGAGCUGGCGACUAGACCUCAAAACAUCGAGACGCUGCAGAACGCGGGGUGUACCCCAGUUGUCAGUCUGCUUGUCAGAAGAACCGGAAGAUCAUAUUAAGGCUGCAGCUGCUUGGGCCUUAGGACAGAUUGGAAGACACACUCCUGAACACGCACGGGCUGUUGCAGUCACAAAUGCUUUGCCAGUUCUGCUUUCUUUGUACAUGUCAACAGAAAGUUCUGAGGAUCUCCAAGUAAAAAGUAAAAAAGCCAUAAAGAAUAUCCUGCAAAAAUGUACCUACUUACCAGCCCUUGAACCAUUUCUAUAUGAUGCUCCUCCCAAUAUUCUGAAACAUGUGGUUGGACAGUUCAGUAAG
RNAcentral lists this small RNA (555 nucleotides) under Pongo abelii (Sumatran orangutan). RNAcentral describes it as "processed transcript". The record is from RNAcentral. Lineage: Eukaryota; Metazoa; Chordata; Mammalia; Primates; Hominidae.